This 77-nucleotide transfer RNA is filed under the name Acidobacteriota bacterium. RNAcentral's name for it is "Acidobacteria bacterium tRNA-Val". It matches the Rfam family "tRNA". Rfam says of the family: Transfer RNA (tRNA) molecules are approximately 80 nucleotides in length. Their secondary structure includes four short double-helical elements and three loops (D, anti-codon, and T loops). Further hydrogen bonds mediate the characteristic L-shaped molecular structure. tRNAs have two regions of fundamental functional importance: the anti-codon, which is responsible for specific mRNA codon recognition, and the 3' end, to which the tRNAs corresponding amino acid is attached (by aminoacyl-tRNA synthetases). tRNAs cope with the degeneracy of the genetic code in two manners: having more than one tRNA (with a specific anti-codon) for a particular amino acid; and 'wobble' base-pairing, i.e. permitting non-standard base-pairing at the 3rd anti-codon position. The record is from RNAcentral. RNAcentral also lists the same sequence under 3 other names. Lineage: Bacteria; Pseudomonadati; Acidobacteriota.
GGGCGGUUAGCUCAGCUGGUUAGAGCGCCUGCCUUACAAGCAGGAGGCCGAAGGUUCGAGUCCUUCACUGCCCACCA